AGAGUUUGAUCCUGGCUCAGGACGAACGCUGGCGGCGUGCCUAAUACAUGCAAGUCGAGCGCAGGAAGUUAUCAGAUCCUCUUCGGAGGUGACGAUAAUGGAAUGAGCGGCGGACGGGUGAGUAACACGUAGGCAACCUGCCUGUAAGACUGGGAUAACUCGUGGAAACGCGAGCUAAUACCGGAUAACACUUUUCAUCUCCUGAUGAGAAGUUGAAAGGCGGCUUUUGCUGUCACUUACAGAUGGGCCUGCGGCGCAUUAGCUAGUUGGUAAGGUAACGGCUUACCAAGGCGACGAUGCGUAGCCGACCUGAGAGGGUGAUCGGCCACACUGGGACUGAGACACGGCCCAGACUCCUACGGGAGGCAGCAGUAGGGAAUCUUCCGCAAUGGACGAAAGUCUGACGGAGCAACGCCGCGUGAGUGAUGAAGGUUUUCGGAUCGUAAAACUCUGUUGUUAGGGAAGAACAAGUACUAUAGUAACUGAUAGUACCUUGACGG
RNAcentral lists this ribosomal RNA (500 nucleotides) under Oceanobacillus sp. S18. RNAcentral's name for it is "bacterial SSU rRNA". It matches the Rfam family "Bacterial small subunit ribosomal RNA", at positions 8 to 475 of the family's 1533-position model. Lineage: Bacteria; Bacillati; Bacillota; Bacilli; Caryophanales; Bacillaceae. The record is from RNAcentral.